UACGAGGGGGGCGAGCGUUGUUCGGAAUUACUGGGCGUAAAGCGCACGUAGGCGGAUAUUUAAGUCAGGGGUGAAAUCCCAAGGCUCAACCUUGGAACUGCCUUUGAUACUGGGGAUCUUGAGUCCGGGAGAGGUGAGUGGAACUGCGAGUGUAGAGGUGAAAUUCGUAGAUAUUCGCAAGAACACCAGUGGCGAAGGCGGCUCACUGGCCCGGUACUGACGCUGAGGUGCGAAAGCGUGGGGAGCAAACAGG
Molecule: ribosomal RNA, 253 nt
Filed under: uncultured bacterium
Lineage: Bacteria
Description: partial 16S ribosomal RNA
Rfam family: Bacterial small subunit ribosomal RNA
Source: RNAcentral